CUGGCUCAGGAUAAACGCUGGCGGCGCACAUAAGACAUGCAAGUCGAACGGACUAACUCAUUCUUUAGAUUGAGAGCGGUUAGUGGCGGACUGGUGAGUAACACGUAAGCAACCUGCCUAUUAGAGGGGGAAUAACAACGAGAAAUCGUUGCUAAUACCGCAUAAGCUGAUAGUAUCGCAUGAUACAGUCAGAAAAGGAGCAAUCCGCUAAUAGAUGGGCUUGCGUCUGAUUAGCUAGUUGGUGGGGUAACGGCCUACCAAGGCGACGAUCAGUAGCCGAGCUGAGAGGCUCUACGGCCACAUUGGGACUGAGAUACGGCCCAGACUCCUACGGGAGGCAGCAGUCGGGAAUAUUGCGCAAUGGAGGAAACUCUGACGCAGUGACGCCGCGUAUAGGAUGAAGGUUUUCGGAUUGUAAACUAUUGUCGUUAGGGAAGAAAUUUGACAGUACCUAAGGAGGAAGCUCCGGCUAACUAUGUGCCAGCCGCCGC
This 491-nucleotide ribosomal RNA is filed under the name uncultured bacterium. RNAcentral's name for it is "bacterial SSU rRNA". It matches the Rfam family "Bacterial small subunit ribosomal RNA", at positions 19 to 518 of the family's 1533-position model. The record is from RNAcentral.